This is a non-coding RNA of 246 nucleotides. It matches the Rfam family "Bacterial large subunit ribosomal RNA", at positions 123 to 508 of the family's 2925-position model.
UCUGGCUAUAUAUUAAAGAUAUAUAUGAAAAAUUAAUAUCUAAUAUAAAUUUAAUAAUAAACAAAGUGAAUUGAAAUAUCUUAAUAACUUUAGGAAAAGAAAUCAAACGAGAUUUUAUUAUUAGUGUAUACUAAAAUAAAAAAGCUUAUAAGUAAAAUGGAAAAUAUCUGUUUGAAUAAAGGGGAACCUUCCUCUAAAGCUAAAUAUAAUAUAUAAGCGAUAGCGAAUAGUACCGUGAGGUAUAGA